RNAcentral lists this ribosomal RNA (49 nucleotides) under Lodderomyces parapsilosis. RNAcentral's name for it is "Candida parapsilosis partial 28S ribosomal RNA". The record is from RNAcentral. Lineage: Eukaryota; Fungi; Ascomycota; Pichiomycetes; Serinales; Debaryomycetaceae.
UCGACCUCAAAUCAGGUAGGACUACCCGCUGAACUUAAGCAUAUCAAUA